This 429-nucleotide ribosomal RNA is filed under the name Acidobacteriota bacterium. RNAcentral's name for it is "Acidobacteria bacterium partial 16S ribosomal RNA". It matches the Rfam family "Bacterial small subunit ribosomal RNA", at positions 355 to 776 of the family's 1533-position model. The record is from RNAcentral. Lineage: Bacteria; Pseudomonadati; Acidobacteriota.
UGGGGAAUUUUUGACAAUGGGGGAAACCCUGAUCCAGCCAUCCCGCGUGUGCGAUGAAGGCCUUCGGGUUGUAAAGCACUUUUGGCCGGAAAGAAGCGUCAUGGGUUAAUACCCCGUGAAACUGACGGUACCUGCAGAAUAAGCACCGGCUAACUACGUGCCAGCAGCCGCGGUAAUACGUAGGGUGCAAGCGUUAAUCGGAAUUACUGGGCGUAAAGCGUGCGCAGGCGGAUCGGUAAGAAAGAUGUGAAAUCCCAGAGCUCAACUUUGGAACUUCAUUUUGAACUACCGGGCUAGAGUGUGUCGGAGGGAGGUGUAAUUCCGGGUGUAGCAGUGAAAUGCGUAGAUAUGCGGAGGAACAGCGGCGGCGAAGGCAGCCUACGGGGAUAACACUGACGCUCAUGCAAGAAAGCGUGGGGAGCAAACAGG